This 422-nucleotide ribosomal RNA is filed under the name Spalerosophis sp. RNAcentral's name for it is "partial small subunit ribosomal RNA". Lineage: Eukaryota; Metazoa; Chordata; Lepidosauria; Squamata; Colubridae. The record is from RNAcentral.
AUAACUACGAKUAAAAACUUAAAAUUUAAAAGACUUGACGGUACCUCACAACAGCUUAGAGGAGCCUGUCCAUAACCGAUACUCCACGAUUAACCCAACCCCCCCUAGCCCAACAKUCUAUAUACCGCCGUCGCCAGCCUACCUUAUGAAAGAAAAAAAGUAAACGAAAUAGUCACACACUAACACGACAGGUCGAGGUGUAACCAAUGGGGGGGCCAAGAUGGGCUACAUUUUCUACCACAGAAAAAACGAAUUAAACCAUGAAAAAGAAACUGAAGGAGGAUUUAAUAGUACACUAAGAACACACAUACCUAGUCGAAAUUAAUGCAAUGAGGUGCGUACACACCGCCCGUCAUCCCUGUUGACUUAAACCAAAUACUUCCAUAAUACAAAAACAACCAAAAGCAGGGCAAGUCGUAACA